UGCAUACUUCCUCGAAAGCUACUGAAUCCUCCUCUUCUUCUUCCUCUUUUUGUUAAUCAAAAACUAAUGAACUGAUGCUGGGGGGUAUUUUGGAGAAAUUAUUCUAUAAGUUUGGUAGACCAGUUCAAAAGUGUCAAUGGUGUACUGCGGGUAAGGGUUCCCAAAACGUUCCUGCUUUUCUUCUGUAUCCUAUUGUUUUAGAUUUUUUUUUUUAAGGAACAGGAUUUUGCUUCAGGACUUGGAAAUCUUUAGAAAGAAAAGGCUAUUGAAAAAAAAAAAGAAAAAAAAAAGAAAUAGUUACAGCAAAUAUAUUCUUCAAAUACAUAAAUACAUUGUCAAUAUCAUUCAACAUUUUUCUAUUUGAUUCCGUAGAAGUACAUGCAUCUUCUACAAGUUGAAGCCUACCUCUUUUGAAUCAUAAUAUUACGAUGCAUCACACAGCAGAAAUUUGUAAUUAUCUACAAUCCACACAGCGGACAUGGCAAUUGAAUAUAUUUUUUGUGACUUGCAUCAUAUUCUUAAAUCUUGAGUAACACUUAAACCGAGAUGCAAACGAGUCUAAUUUGCAAGCCUGUCACCAAGUUCUAUUUGAUUCCGUAGAAGUACAUGUAUCUCCUACAAGUUGAAGCCUACCUCUUUUGAAUCAUAAUAUUACGAUGCAUCACACCGCAGAAAUUUGUAAUUAUCUACAAUCCACACAGCGGACAUGGCAAUUGAAUGUAUUUUUUGUGACUUGCAUCAUAUUCUUAAAUCUUGAGUAACAGUUAAACUGAGAUGCAAACGAGUCUAAUUUGCAAGCCUGUCACCAAGUUCUUUGCUAUAUACCUGAAUCAAGCCGCUGUUGUCUGCCAUCUGAAGCUUCUCAUUUAAUGUUGUCCGGUACUGGUCAUCUUUGUCCUCUAAGUUGCGCAUAAAUUCAAC
This 921-nucleotide long non-coding RNA is filed under the name Carica papaya (papaya). RNAcentral's name for it is "long non-coding RNA (CPAP_LNC005522)". Lineage: Eukaryota; Viridiplantae; Streptophyta; Magnoliopsida; Brassicales; Caricaceae. The record is from RNAcentral.